UAACAUUUGGAUACAGAGGCUAAUACCGCAUAAGAUUACAGUACCGCAUGAUACAGUGAUCAAAGGAGCAAUCCGCUGAAAGAUGGGCUCGCGUCCGAUUAGAUAGUUGGUGAGGUAACGGCUCACCAAGUCGACGAUCGGUAGCCGGACUGAGAGGUUGAACGGCCACAUUGGGACUGAGACACGGCCCAGACUCCUACGGGAGGCAGCAGUGGGGAAUAUUGCACAAUGGGCGAAAGCCUGAUGCAGCAACGCCGCGUGAGGGAAGACGGUUUUCGGAUUGUAAACCUCUGUUUUCGGUGACGAAUAAAUGACGGUAACCGAGUAGGAAGCCACGGCUAACUACGUGCCAGCAGCCGCGGUAAUACGUAGGUGGCAAGCGUUAUCCGGAAUUACUGGGUGUAAAGGGAGCGCAGGCGGGAUAGCAAGUCAGCUGUGAAAACUAUGGGCUCAACCCAUAAAUUGCAGUUGAAACUGUUAUUCUUGAGUGGAGUAGAGGCAAGCGGAAUUCCGAGUGUAGCGGUGAAAUGCGUAGAUAUUCGGAGGAACACCAGUGGCGAAGGCGGCUUGCUGGGCUCUAACUGACGCUGAGGCUCGAAAGUGUGGGGAGCAAACAGGAUUAGAUACCCUGGUAGUCCACACUGU
RNAcentral lists this ribosomal RNA (645 nucleotides) under uncultured bacterium. Its description in RNAcentral is "bacterial SSU rRNA". It matches the Rfam family "Bacterial small subunit ribosomal RNA", at positions 144 to 803 of the family's 1533-position model. The record is from RNAcentral.